UACGAACCGUGCGAACGUUGUUCGGAAUCACUGGGCUUAAAGGGCGCGUAGGCGGCUCCGCAAGUCGGGGGUGAAAUCUUUCGGCUUAACCGGAAAAGUGCCUCUGAUACUGCGGAGCUCGAGGGAGGUAGGGGCGGACGGAACUUCCGGUGGAGCGGUGAAAUGCGUUGAUAUCGGAAGGAACGCCGGUGGCGAAAGCGGUCCGCUGGCCCUCUACUGACGCUGAGGCGCGAAAGCGUGGGGAGCAAAAGGG
Molecule: ribosomal RNA, 253 nt
Filed under: uncultured bacterium
Lineage: Bacteria
Description: partial 16S ribosomal RNA
Rfam family: Bacterial small subunit ribosomal RNA
Source: RNAcentral